GUUAAAGAAACUCCCUACUUUAUCAACCGAAAAAGAAAACUUAGUUAUCAAAAUUAUUAAUGAUAAUACUUUGUUAUAUUCAUACUUUACUAUAUGUUAUUUUAUCACAUCGUACAUGUAUUUUAACUAUUCUAUUUUAUUAUCAACGUAAUUCUUUUUGUAACUAGUCAGUUAGAGACGGGAAUCUAAAGUAUCGAGACGUAUCAAACAUAAUAAUAUUUGAUCGGAAUCUAUUGUAAAGUUCAGUUCAGCGUUAAAGUGUUAAAUAAAUAAGUUAAGUUAUAAAAUAAAGUGUUUACUAUAUUAUAAGAGUUAUUGAAUCAUUAGAAUUAACUAUCAAGACCCCCACAAAUUGGUGAUCUCGACAUGAUUUUCUCGAAAUGCCAUUACACCAUUCUCCGACAAGAGAAAUUUAAUCGGCCUUCGCAAUCAAGAAGAUAAUAUGUCUUUUCAUGAUAACAAGAUAACAUGUCUUGUCACGAAAAUCUUUAGAAACCCAUUGACUAGAGAUAAAUAUGAGACUCUGAAAGCGCGUAUUAUAUCUUCGUUUGAUAAGUUUAGCGAAUCCAAGUUGAGGGCUCUUCUUCGCAAUAAUGAAUUUUUGGACGAAAAACCAUUUUCUAUAACGCUUAAGAAAUCUAGUGGAUGGGUUAUGUAAUAAGAGCGUUUUAGGACCUUCAUCCUUUAACAACCUCCAAAUAACGAUCGGGCGAUUCUUGCAAUCAGUGAUGUUCAAGAUUUGUCACGACUAACCCAUAAAACGGAAUACGCAAUUUCCAUGAAGGAAAAACUAAGCCGAAAAAAUAAAUCCCGAUCUUUCGACAUACGACGAUAUUCGUAGAAAUUCGAUUUUCAUAGGAAUUUCUAAUAGCUGACAUUAACCUCUUAGGUACGGUUGAAUUUUGUGCAGGGCUGUUUCUCUGUAUCUCAGAUUUUGACGCGUAAACGAUACAGCACUGCAAUGUUUGACUAAUAAUGCUGUUCUCUACGCAAACACAUUGGAAUGAAGUUUUUGAUAAAUAAAUUAUAAUUUUUCUUAAAGAUCUGAUAGAUAAUGCAUAUACUUUAACUUUAAUAAUUUACUUUAAUAAUUAAUAAUACAAUUGAAUGUGAUAUAUUUUAAAAUACGGUACGACACAUAGAACUACGUCACAAUUUUCACAUUUAUAACGCGAUAGUGUUUUUCAAAUUGCUCUUCAUUUUCUAUUUUGAAGCGACAUUCUGAGGUUGAGGAUUCUAAAAAAUUACAAGGAUACGGAUCGACAUGUUAAACAGAGUAUCUAAUAAUGGUAUAUUUAUUUUAACGAAAAGUAACAAUUGACAUCUGACACUGGUGUAUCAAAAAUAAAGACUAUAUAUUCUGGCUGCAUAUUGUUAACACUGUUAUAAAACAUUGCAAGGAUAAAAAAAGUGUGAAGCAAGACAAAUGAAAUACAUCAUUUAGUUUAAACGAUAAGUGAAUGAGUCAGUAGAGUGAGCCACUAUAGUGGCGCGUCGUAAUAUAAUACCCGCAAAAGCCACUAUAGUGGCGCAUCGUAUCGAAGAGGUUCAUCAGAGUACCAUAGGCGCUGAUUUUUUCUAAGAUGUUAUGGUUUUUAAGAUGAUAUAUAAAAUCUAUGGGUAGAUUUAAGCAGUAACAGAAUUAUCAACGGAAACACACAAUUAAGUUUUCAUUUUCAUUUUCAUUCGGUUUCAUUAGGCGAAUAAAUAUUAUUUCCACGAUAGACCACUCAAAUAAGUACAGCAAACUGUUACACAAAUUUAUUGAUAUUACUAAAUCACAAAGACACGUGUUCAGAACAGGUGGCAUCAGUAUUUCAUUUGCACUAAAGGAUAACCAAUCGCAAAAAAACACGGGAAAGAAGGAUUCAAGGAUACGACCAGGAAGGAGAUUUGCCAACUGUCCUUAAAUCAAUGGGCGAGCCCUUUUCACAUGAUAUCUAAAAAGAAUGGUGAAUGGCGACUUUGUGAGGGCGGACGCUGAAAAAUUCUUCAAAGGGUAGGUUUCACGAUCCGAAAUACCCGAAACUAUCACAACUGAUAGGGUUUCAAAGGACAAGGUUCUCCAUCGUCGGAUGUCAACAAUGUACCAACUACUGUCUACCACCUAGCGUCAAACGGAUUGGUCGAACGGUAGCGUCGCUCACUGAAAACCGCAUUAGGAUGUCACAAUAAUGAAAAUUGAGUGGGGAUAUUACCAGUCGUUUUACUUAGAAUCAAAUCGCGUACAAAGACGAACGAAGAAAUUCAAAGAAGAUGUUGGAGCCUCACAAGCUGAAUUACUAUACGAAACAAUAUUACAUUACAUUAAAUAUAUGUGUAUAUACUUGAUUUAGGGGAUGCAAUUUUGUUAACUUUUUUUUUUAUUGAAGAUAAUAAUGCAUAUUUAAUAAUGAUUUAUAAUUAAUAUUUACUUAAACAGCAGUUUUCUGUACCAAAUGAAACCCUGUAUACAUACUUAUUUUAAAUAAAUUGUGAAAAAUUAUGAA
This is a long non-coding RNA of Bombus terrestris (buff-tailed bumblebee), 2489 nucleotides long. RefSeq lists it as uncharacterized. NCBI's taxonomy places the organism in Eukaryota, Metazoa, Arthropoda, Insecta, Hymenoptera, Apidae. The transcript is spliced from 2 exons. The record is from RefSeq and is a predicted model, not a curated record.